This 253-nucleotide ribosomal RNA is filed under the name uncultured bacterium. RNAcentral describes it as "partial 16S ribosomal RNA". It matches the Rfam family "Bacterial small subunit ribosomal RNA", at positions 524 to 776 of the family's 1533-position model. The record is from RNAcentral.
UACAGAGGGUGCGAGCGUUAAUCGGAAUUACUGGGCGUAAAGCGCACGUAGGUGGCGACGUAAGUCGGGUGUGAAAGCCCCGGGCUCAACCUGGGAAUUGCAUUCGAGACUGCAUUGCUGGAGUACGGAAGAGGAGGGCGGAAUUCCCGGUGUAGCGGUGAAAUGCGUAGAUAUCUGGAGGAACACCGGUGGCGAAGGCGGCAUCCUGGACCAACACUGACGCUGAGGAGCGAAAGCCAGGGGAGCAAACGGG